This 72-nucleotide transfer RNA is filed under the name Candidatus Colwellbacteria bacterium GWA2_46_10. RNAcentral describes it as "tRNA-Arg". It matches the Rfam family "tRNA". Rfam says of the family: Transfer RNA (tRNA) molecules are approximately 80 nucleotides in length. Their secondary structure includes four short double-helical elements and three loops (D, anti-codon, and T loops). The record is from RNAcentral. Lineage: Bacteria; Candidatus Colwelliibacteriota.
GCCCUCGUCGUUCAACGGACAGGACACAGAUUUCCUAAAUCUGUAAUUGAGGUUCGAUUCCUCGCGAGGGCA